UUAUUUCCUCCCUUGGUAGUCCUUUGAGGCUGAGAAUGUAGAGGCUCGCAGUUCAUAAAAUGAUGCAGUGAGGACAAGAGGCAAAGGAGGAGAGCUGCAUAUGCUGUAAGGAGGAACAACAAGAGGGCAUUAUGGGUUGGGGCUGGAAUCAAGUCAAUGGACUCAGAAAAACAAAUGUUGAAGCAAAGAUGGAACUGAAGAUGCCCCUGGUUGUGACUGCCUCUGCCUAAUAUUAGCCCCAUGAGCAAUAUCGCUGUUUCCUUGGGAAUCACAUGUUUUCUCAGUGUGGACUACAGCCAGAACAGCCAUUCCUAUGUAAUCAUGUGGACAUGCUCGAGAAAAACAAUAAUGAACAUCCUUGCCUCAGUAGACAGAAGAUGAAAAGCUGUGGAUUCUUUCCAGACUAACAUGGUUUCAUCAAGCAAGAGCCCUUGAAGCAAUGGCCAGAUCAAAAUCAGAAGAAACUGGAAAUCAACAGGACCACUAGUCUACAAUCCACACUACCAGAGGAGCUAGGAAAAAAGGAGGACCU
This 532-nucleotide long non-coding RNA is filed under the name Cricetulus griseus (Chinese hamster). RNAcentral's name for it is "lncRNA (ENSCGRG00015034678.1)". Lineage: Eukaryota; Metazoa; Chordata; Mammalia; Rodentia; Cricetidae. The record is from RNAcentral.